AGCCACAUCAGGUUGAAACACAGGUUCCCAUAAGAUCACCAAAGUUAAGCAAGGUUGACCCUGGUUAGUACUUAGAUAGGUAACUGCUGAUGAAUACCAGGUGUUGUAAG
This is a non-coding RNA of Acanthosepion pharaonis, 110 nucleotides long. The record is from the annotation of a GenBank genome assembly. NCBI's taxonomy places the organism in Eukaryota, Metazoa, Mollusca, Cephalopoda, Sepiida, Sepiidae.